This is a ribosomal RNA of Nicotiana attenuata, 119 nucleotides long. The record is from Rfam. Lineage: Eukaryota; Viridiplantae; Streptophyta; Magnoliopsida; Solanales; Solanaceae.
GGAUGCGAUCAUACCAGCACUAACGCACCGGAUCCCAUCAGAACUCCGAAGGUAAGCGUGCUUGGGCGAGAGUAGUAUUAGGAUGGGUGACCCCCUGGGAAGUCCUCGUGUUGCAUCCC